Molecule: small RNA, 86 nt
Filed under: Mytilus galloprovincialis (Mediterranean mussel)
Lineage: Eukaryota; Metazoa; Mollusca; Bivalvia; Mytilida; Mytilidae
Source: RNAcentral
CUCCUUUUACGGCUAAAACUGUACCACUUUUACUAUGAAGUUUCCAAACUUCAUAGUAAAAGUGGUACAGUUUUAGCCGUAAAAGG